RNAcentral lists this ribosomal RNA (406 nucleotides) under uncultured bacterium. RNAcentral describes it as "partial 16S ribosomal RNA". It matches the Rfam family "Bacterial small subunit ribosomal RNA", at positions 30 to 526 of the family's 1533-position model. The record is from RNAcentral.
AUUGAACGCUGGCGGCAGGCCUAACACAUGCAAGUCGAGCGAGCGGCGGACGGGUGAGUAAUGUAUGGGAAACUGCCUGAUGGAGGGGGAUAACUACUGGAAACGGUAGCUAAUACCGCAUACCAUCAGAUGAACCCAGAUGGGAUUAGCUUGUAGGUAAGGUAAAGGCUGACCUAGGCGACGAUCCCUAGCUGGUCUGAGAGGAUGAUCAGCCACACUGGGACUGAGACACGGCCCAGACUCCUACGGGAGGCAGCAGUGGGGAAUAUUGCACAAUGGGCGCAAGCCUGAUGCAGCCAUGCCGCGUGUAUGAAGAAGGCCUUCGGGUUGUAAAGUACUUUCAGUCGGGAGGCGUUACCGGCAGAAGAAGCACCGGCUAACUCCGUGCCAGCAGCCGCGGUAAUUC